RNAcentral lists this ribosomal RNA (374 nucleotides) under uncultured organism. RNAcentral describes it as "bacterial SSU rRNA". It matches the Rfam family "Bacterial small subunit ribosomal RNA", at positions 526 to 896 of the family's 1533-position model. The record is from RNAcentral.
CGUAGGGACCAAGCGUUGUUCGGAUUUACUGGGCGUAAAGGGCGCGUAGGCGGCAAUUCAAGUCAUCUGUGAAAUCUCCGGGCUUAACCCGGAACGGUCAGAUGAUACUGCUUUGCUAGAGUGCGGAAGGGGCAAUCGGAAUUCUUGGUGUAGCGGUGAAAUGCGUAGAUAUCAAGAGGAACACCUGAGGUGAAGACGGGUUGCUGGGCCGACACUGACGCUGAUAGCGCGAAAGCCAGGGGAGCAAACGGGAUUAGAUACCCCGGUAGUCCUGGCCCUAAACGAUGAAUACUUGGUGUCUGGAGUUAUUAGUGCUCCGGGUGCCGUCGCUAACGUUUUUAGUAUUCCGCCUGGGGAGUACGCUCGCAAGAGUG